Molecule: long non-coding RNA, 1127 nt
Filed under: Coffea arabica (coffee)
Lineage: Eukaryota; Viridiplantae; Streptophyta; Magnoliopsida; Gentianales; Rubiaceae
Description: long non-coding RNA (CARA_LNC005775)
Source: RNAcentral
GCAUCGUUGUUGUCGCCGAGGCAGCGGCCGCCACCACGUCCGCACCAGCAGCUGAUUGACUUGAUGCAGGUUUGCUGAUUGUAACUCCCAUUUGUGCUGCUUUUUGCAGCAAUGCAGUUGCAGACAUGUGGGGUGAUGCCGAUGCCGCGGCGGCUUGGAAUGAGGAGGAAAGAGUUGGGUUAGGGUUAGGGUUGUUGACAUUUUCAUGAUGAUGAAUCAUGGUUUGGUCCAGUCUCGGGCUGCUGAACAAGUCAUGACUUGUUGGAGGACCUCCCCCUGGAUCACAGAGCCAAGGCGGCAGCUCUGGUGGCCUCAAGUUGCUAUUGAAGCUUUGUUGUCGUUGUAACUGUAACUGUAACUGAUCUUGUUCUCGCUUGAGAGGAAACACGGGGAGGCCGCCGCCAUGGAGAGGAUGGUUUUGGAGGUGGAGUUGGACUGAAGAUGUAGUACUAUUGCCGCCGCCGCCUAGUAGUCCUAGUGGGUGGUUGUUUGUUGUAAUUGCCCGGGCACUCUCUUCUGCCAAGGCGUCGCAGAAAGCUCUAUGGGUGAUGAAACUGUCCCUCCUGACAAACAAAAACAAACAGAAAAAAACAAAAGGAAUAAAACAUCAAAAUGCUGCUGCAGAUUAAACAAUAGACAGUACGGUACCAUAUAUCUAUGAACGAUGCUCCCUCUUUUUCAUCUGAGUCCGUCUCUGUCGUCAACUUUUUCUGCGCUUUCAUCUAUGGUGGCAGAAUAGAUAGUAGUAGAGUACAUGAUUUUUUAGCAGUAAAGUUUUCUUUGUUUUUAGCUUUUUGCAGUGAAAGAAUAAAUAAAGUAGUGUUAGGACAUACUACAAAACUUGUAAUGAUACAAAUUCACUGCACAUACGCACAUACACACAAAGACAAAGACAAAAGAUUGCAAGAACAACACAAGAUUCACAAGGCAAAGAUGCUUAAGGUGGUACCACGUACUAAUUGCCUAGUAAAACUGAAUGUGAGCAAAGUAUUUUUUUUUUUUUGGUCAAAAAAUGAGAGCAAAGUAUUUGACAUUGGGUAUUUUGGUAGCUUCUUUCUAGUGUGCAUGGAACAUCCAUUUGACCCCAGAUUCCUAAAUUAAAAAAGAAAAAAAAGAAGAUCGAUUAC